Long non-coding RNA from Dendronephthya gigantea, 382 nucleotides. RefSeq lists it as uncharacterized. The transcript is spliced from 3 exons. NCBI's taxonomy places the organism in Eukaryota, Metazoa, Cnidaria, Anthozoa, Malacalcyonacea, Nephtheidae. The record is from RefSeq and is a predicted model, not a curated record.
UAUCAAAAAGCAGACAACGUUAAAUUGCGUUCUGUUUUUGAACAUCAAAGAAUAUUGAAAAUUGAAUUGCCAGAGGUAACUAUAACGAAGCUUGUGUAGAAAUGGAGUUCAAACAAUAUAUUCUGACUGCAGCAGUGCUUGGAUUUAUGCAGAAGAUGACGCGUACAAAAGCUUCCAGCUGCUCAACUAAAGAUAUAUCAUGGAAAUACAAAGUUGUGAUAGGCCGACCUUUUCGUUAUCACGGUGAAUGGAUUUUAGCAAAUUGCACUGUAAAUAGUGCAAACGAGACAAGACUUAAAUUUGAAAACAAAACUCAAGUUGUUGACGGAAAGAAGAUUAAAAUGGCAGCCAAAAAUGUUUUCAAUAUAACUAAUUUGAAUAA